UACGAAGGGGGCUAGCGUUGCUCGGAAUCACUGGGCGUAAAGGGUGCGUAGGCGGUUCUUUAAGUCCGGGGCGAAAUCCUGGAGCUCAACUCCAGAACUGCCUUUGAUACUGAAGAUCUUGAGUUCGGGAGAGGUGAGUGGAACUGCGAGUGUAGAGGUGAAAUUCGUAGAUAUUCGCAAGAACACCAGUGGCGAAGGCGGCUCACUGGCCCGAUACUGACGCUGAGGCACGAAAGCGUGGGGAGCAAACAGG
This 253-nucleotide ribosomal RNA is filed under the name uncultured bacterium. Its description in RNAcentral is "partial 16S ribosomal RNA". It matches the Rfam family "Bacterial small subunit ribosomal RNA", at positions 524 to 776 of the family's 1533-position model. The record is from RNAcentral.